UACGUGAAACCGUUUAGGAGUAAACCUGAGAAGCCCGAAAGAUCGAACGGGGUGAUUCAUGCGUGCUCGGUAGUGCAGCGCAAUCACUUACAAUUUAACAGGCGUUAAUUCGUCUGUAUUGCUGUGUUGCUAGCUUGCGCAUCGAACGCGUGCAAUUCACCUCCGGUAGGACGUUGCGACUCGUUGGGUGCCGGUCUAAGGCCCGGUGUGGAGCCCGGUGUUAUUUGCCUUGCGCAUCUAAUGUCGGACCAUCGGAUGCCCGACCGGCCCGCUCGACGGUAUUGAGAUGGCGCGGUGCCGCGACUUGUUCGCGUCCGGCCCGUCACAAACACGCUCGGCUACCAGGACACGCGGAACAUAUGUAGCCGUGUGCUUGGCCCGGACGGUUGUUGGUGGCGGUGUCCUUGGGCAGACACCGUUCUCGCCGAUCAGCGACGCUACUGUUUUGGGCAAUUUCUGGACCCGUCUUGAAACACGGACCAAGGAGUCUAGCAUGUACGCAAGUCAUUGGGCUUUGCAAACCCCACAGGCGAAAUGAAAGUAAGGAUGCGUGUCACUGCGGUGCAUCACGUAUCAAGGGUAGAUGGGCCGCUGCUUGUCACGGCCCCGCACACCCGGGGCGUCUCAAUAUCUCAUUGCGAGAUGAGGCGCACCUAGAGCGUACAUGCUGGUACCCGAAAGAUGGUGAACUAUACUUGGCUAGAGCGAAGUCAGGGGAAACCCUGAUGGAGGCUCGUAGCGGUUCUGACGUGCAAAUCGAUCGUCAAAGCUGAGUAUA
Molecule: ribosomal RNA, 778 nt
Filed under: Coleoptera sp. NZAC 03009268
Lineage: Eukaryota; Metazoa; Arthropoda; Insecta; Coleoptera
Description: eukaryotic LSU rRNA
Rfam family: Eukaryotic large subunit ribosomal RNA
Source: RNAcentral